UCGGUGUCAGUGGUGCUAAAGCCAUCAUCA
RNAcentral lists this non-coding RNA (30 nucleotides) under Homo sapiens (human). The record is from RNAcentral. Lineage: Eukaryota; Metazoa; Chordata; Mammalia; Primates; Hominidae.